This 292-nucleotide ribosomal RNA is filed under the name uncultured bacterium. Its description in RNAcentral is "partial 16S ribosomal RNA". It matches the Rfam family "Bacterial small subunit ribosomal RNA", at positions 505 to 796 of the family's 1533-position model. The record is from RNAcentral.
GUGUCAGCAGCCGCGGUAAGACAGAGGGUGCAAACGUUGUUCGGAAUUACUGGGCGUAAAGCGUGUGUAGGCGGCCAUGUAAGUCGGAUGUGAAAGCCCCGGGCUUAACCCGGGAAGUGCAUUCGAUACUGCGUGGCUUGAGUAUCGGAGAGGUUGGUGGAAUUCUCGGUGUAGAGGUGAAAUUCGUAGAUAUCGAGAGGAACACCGGUGGCGAAGGCGGCCAACUGGACGAAUACUGACGCUGAGACACGAAAGCGUGGGGAGCAAACAGGAUUAGAUACCCUUGUAGUCC